AUUGAACGCUGGCGGCAGGCCUAACACAUGCAAGUCGAGCGGAUGAAGGGAGCUUGCUCCUGGAUUCAGCGGCGGACGGGUGAGUAAUGCCUAGGAAUCUGCCUGGUAGUGGGGGAUAACGUCCGGAAACGGGCGCUAAUACCGCAUACGUCCUGAGGGAGAAAGUGGGGGAUCUUCGGACCUCACGCUAUCAGAUGAGCCUAGGUCGGAUUAGCUAGUUGGUGGGGUAAAGGCCUACCAAGGCGACGAUCCGUAACUGGUCUGAGAGGAUGAUCAGUCACACUGCAACUGAGACACGGUCCAGACUCCUACGGGAGGCAGCAGUGGGGAAUAUUGGACAAUGGGCGAAAGCCUGAUCCAGCCAUGCCGCGUGUGUGAAGAAGGUCUUCGGAUUGUAAAGCACUUUAAGUUGGGAGGAAGGGCAGUAAGUUAAUACCUUGCUGCUUUGACGUUACCAACAGAAUAAGCACCGGCUAACUUCGUG
RNAcentral lists this ribosomal RNA (484 nucleotides) under uncultured bacterium. RNAcentral describes it as "partial 16S ribosomal RNA". It matches the Rfam family "Bacterial small subunit ribosomal RNA", at positions 30 to 507 of the family's 1533-position model. The record is from RNAcentral.